This 284-nucleotide long non-coding RNA is filed under the name Bos indicus x Bos taurus (hybrid cattle). RNAcentral describes it as "lncRNA (ENSBIXG00000017014.1)". Lineage: Eukaryota; Metazoa; Chordata; Mammalia; Artiodactyla; Bovidae. The record is from RNAcentral.
AAUAUCCCUGGAAGAGACCCUUCCCAAGUUUUGGGUAAUAGAUGAUUCAUAUACGGUGUUGUGUCUCAGUGAUUCAACAUAGAAACUCAGGGGCCUGGGCUGUGCCAUAAGCAGUGUCUCCAUUGAGAACGCAGCCGGGGACAUUCACACCACGGGCUACACCUCAGGUGGGCCAACAGUCCUCCUGAAAAUGAGCUGCAUCCUGAUUAUGGCUGGUAGUUGGGUGAGUCCUUCUUGAAACACGUAACAUGUAGUCUAGGUGGCUCACGGAUCAAAAUAAACAG